RNAcentral lists this unclassified non-coding RNA (391 nucleotides) under soil metagenome. RNAcentral describes it as "partial contains 5.8S ribosomal RNA, internal transcribed spacer 2, and large subunit ribosomal RNA". The stretch from base 1 to 122 matches the Rfam family "5.8S ribosomal RNA", at positions 35 to 154 of the family's 154-position model. The record is from RNAcentral.
GAUGAAGAACGUAGCGAAAUGCGAUACUUGGUGUGAAUUGCAGAAUCCCGUGAACCAUCGAGUCUUUGAACGCAAGUUGCGCCCGAAGCCAUUAGGCCGAGGGCACGCCUGCCUGGGCGUCACACGUCGUUGCCCCCCCAUCUACUCCUUCGGGAUUGCGGGGGGCGGAUGAUGGCCUCCCGUGCGCCUCGUCGCGCGGUUGGCAUAAAUGCCAAGUCCUCGGCGACGCACGCCACGACAAUCGGUGGUUGCGAAACCUCGGUUGCCUGUCGUGUGCGGUCGUCGCGCAUCGAGGGCUCGAAAAAAUUGCCGGGCUUCGGCUCGACUUUCAACGCGACCCCAGGUCAGGCGGGGUUACCCGCUGAAUUUAAGCAUAUCAAUAAGCGGAGGA